RNAcentral lists this ribosomal RNA (799 nucleotides) under uncultured bacterium. RNAcentral describes it as "bacterial SSU rRNA". It matches the Rfam family "Bacterial small subunit ribosomal RNA", at positions 64 to 870 of the family's 1533-position model. The record is from RNAcentral.
GAACGGAGGUUUAGAGGAGCUUGCUUUUUAAGCUUAAGUGGCGAACGGGUGAGUAACGCGUGAGUAACUGCCCCUAGAGUGGGGGACAACAGUUGGAAACGACUGCUAAUACCGCAUAAGCCCACGGUACCGCAUGGUACUGAGGGAAAAAGGAUUUGUUUCGCUUUAGGAUGGACUCGCGUCCAAUUAGCUAGUUGGUGAGGUAACGGCCCACCAAGGCGACGAUUGGUAGCCGGACUGAGAGGUUGAACGGCCACAUUGGGACUGAGACACGGCCCAGACUCCUACGGGAGGCAGCAGUGGGGGAUAUUGCACAAUGGGGGAAACCCUGAUGCAGCGACGCCGCGUGGAGGAAGAAGGUUUUCGGAUUGUAAACUCCUGUCGUUAGGGACGAUAAUGACGGUACCUAACAAGAAAGCACCGGCUAACUACGUGCCAGCAGCCGCGGUAAAACGUAGGGUGCAAGCGUUGUCCGGAAUUACUGGGUGUAAAGGGAGCGCAGGCGGGAAGACAAGUUGGAAGUGAAAACCAUGGGCUCAACCCAUGAAUUGCUUUCAAAACUGUUUUUCUUGAGUAGUGCAGAGGUAGAUGGAAUUCCCGGUGUAGCGGUGGAAUGCGUAGAUAUAUGGAAGAACACCAGUGGCGAAGGCGGCUCUCUGGUCUGCAACUGACGCUGAGGCUCGAAAGCAUGGGUAGCGAACAGGAUUAGAUACCCUGGUAGUCCAUGCCGUAAACGAUGAGUGCUAAGUGUUGGGAGGUUUCCGCCUCUCAGUGCUGCAGCUAACGCAUAANGCACUCC